RNAcentral lists this ribosomal RNA (1701 nucleotides) under Triticum aestivum (bread wheat). RNAcentral's name for it is "partial small subunit ribosomal RNA". The record is from RNAcentral. Lineage: Eukaryota; Viridiplantae; Streptophyta; Magnoliopsida; Poales; Poaceae.
AUGAACGCAGCCAAGUCCGGCGGCCGCAUGCUCGCGCGGCGCGGCGGCGCCCCGUUCCCCUGCCGCGGUGCCGCGUCCGCCGUGCCCGCGGCCGCCGCAACGACGCCCCAGCAGGUCUCCCACUACCUCGCGAGCAGCCCGAGGGUGACCUGGGAGGCGCUCUCCGCCUCGUUCCCCGCCGCCGCGGCGCCCGAGGGGCACGUCGACGCCGUGCUCCUCUCCCUCGCCAGGAACCCCAGCCCCUCCUCCGCCGAGACCAUCGCCAAGAACGCGCACAGCUUCUUCCACUGGUCCGCCGCCGCCUCGUCGCCGUCCCCCCACUCGCUCCGCUCCUACUGCCUCCUCGUCCACCUCCUCGCCCGCGCGGCCCUCAUCAGCCACGCCUCCGUCCUCCUCCAGUCCGCCAUCACCAGGCACUCCUCCUCGCCCGCUUCGCACUUCCUGGACGCCUUCUUCGCGGCCUACGAGGACAGCGGCACCGCCGCGACCACCCGCGGCCUCCACCUCCUGGUGCACGCCUACGCGCAGCUCCGCCUCCCGGAGGAGGCCCUCGAGGCCUGCCGGUACCUGGCGCUCCGCCGCGUGCUCCCCUCCCUCUCCGCCUUCAACGCCGUGCUGCACGCGGCGCAGCGCACCGGCCGGUUCCGGGUCGCCUGGGAGGUGUUCGAGCUAAUGACGCUCAAGCGGGUGUACGCCAGCCAGGCCACCAUCGAGCUUGUCGUCGGCGUGCUGAGCCGGGAGGGCGCACUUGCCAGGAUGGCGGCCCUCGUGGAGAGGAUCCACGGCAAGAAGUGCGCGCCGGGCGUCGUGGCGCACGUCGCGCUAGCGCUGUGGAUCUUCGAGGAGGGGAGGACAGAGGAAGGGAUCUUGCUCCUCAGGAGGAUGCUGCAGAGGAACAUGGUGUUCGAUGGCGUUGCUUACUCGCUGAUGGUGCAUGCCCACUGUCGUACUGGUGAUCUGGAGUCGGCACAAGAGCAGUGGGACGACAUGGUCCGACGAGGCUGUCGCCUGAACCCAUUUGUGUAUACUUGCCUCAUCGGAGUACAUUGCCGUGAAGGCAAUGUCAGUGAGGCCAUGCGGUUGCUGCAAGAAAUGCUGUCCAGGGGGUUGAAGCCGUAUGAUGCUACAUACAGUCACCUAGUCACCGGGUGUUUUAGACAUGAGAGGACAGAUGAGGGGUCGGAGUACUUUGACAAGAUGCUCCAUGAAGGCCUUGUGCCGGACAUUGGGACUUGCAAUGAGAUCUUAGAGGCGAUGUGUGGUGCUGGACAGGUCGGCAAGGCGAACGAGUUGGUGACGGCAAUGAUCGACAAAGGAACUAUUCCUGGUCAGGAUACAUACCGUAAGCUCAUUGAUGGGUACGGCAAGGUUGGUGAUGCGGAAGGUGUUGUCAAGAUUUAUUAUGAGAUGGAGCACAGGGGACUUAACCAUGGCAUUGAAGUUUUUACCUCCCUGAUCAGUGGCCUGUGCCGGUGUGGGAAUCCAAAGGAAGCUGAGAAAUUUGUGUCCGUGAUGGAAAGGAAAUCGCUGGCUCCGACUAGUGACAUAGGCGAUAUGCUGAUCAGCAGUUACUGUGAGAAGGGCAACACUAAGAGCGCACUUCGGUUAUAUGACAGGAUGACUGCACAGAGCGAGAAGCUAAUCCCCUCUGCGGAUACGUUUAUGAUGUUGGUGAGAAGAGUCAUCAAAGUAAAGACAUAG